This 492-nucleotide ribosomal RNA is filed under the name uncultured bacterium. Its description in RNAcentral is "partial 16S ribosomal RNA". It matches the Rfam family "Bacterial small subunit ribosomal RNA", at positions 29 to 507 of the family's 1533-position model. The record is from RNAcentral.
AGUGAACGCUGGCGGUAGGCCUAACACAUGCAAGUCGAACGGCAGGACAGUAAGAGCUUGCUCUUACGGGUGGCGAGUGACGGACGGGUGAGACAUACAUAGGAAUCUUCUUUUUCGGGGGGGAUAUCGUAGGACAACUUAUGCUACUACCGCAUAUGAUGUACGGCAUGAAGCAGGAGUUCUUCGCACCUUGCCCGAUUCAUUUAGCUGAUGCCGGAUUAGCUAGUUGGCUUGGUAAGGGCCCACCAUGGCAACGAUCCGUAGCUGGUCUGAGAGGAUGAUCAGCCACACUGGAACUGAGACACGGUCCAGACUCCUACGGGAGGCAGCAGUGGGGAAUAUUGGACAAUGGGCGAAAGCCUGAUCCAGCCAUACCGCGUGGGUGAUGAAGGCCUUCGGGUCGUAAAGCCCUUUUGUUGGGAAAGAAAAGCAGCAGGAGAAUCCGUCGCUGUUCUGACGGUACCCAAAGAAUAAGCACCGGCUAACUUCGUG